CUUUGGCAACCACAUGUCGCAAUCACCACGGAAGCAGGAAUGAGAGCUAGAGCCAGGAACCUGGCUGGAAUUGGAUCCGGCAAUCCAGAGGCAGCACACAUCUCUCCAGAAGGCUUGUGGUGGAAAUGGACAAAAUUAGUAAACACAGGCUUUCUUCGUGAGCUCCUACGGUGUGCUGGAACGGAUCUCAUCCUACAGCAAUCCAAGAACCCAGCCCAUUACUGAAUUAUAACGAGUGGAAAAGAAAUACUAAGAAGACAGUGGGUAACUCUAGCACCAGAGGACGCUCAGCAAAAGGCUGAGCAAGUGUCACUGUGGCCUGUGCUUUCCUGGCAUCUUGUUUUGAGGAUACAG
This 354-nucleotide long non-coding RNA is filed under the name Cricetulus griseus (Chinese hamster). RNAcentral's name for it is "lncRNA (ENSCGRG00015034617.1)". The record is from RNAcentral. Lineage: Eukaryota; Metazoa; Chordata; Mammalia; Rodentia; Cricetidae.